UUGCGUUUAUGUUUCAUACUAAGUGUGUGCGAAGGUUGAAGCAAUGAAUCGGGAUAUAUUAACUGGCGUAUUGAUUGGGCUGCUGGUUGACGGUAAAAAUCAACCCCAGCGUC
This is a long non-coding RNA of Teleopsis dalmanni, 113 nucleotides long. RefSeq lists it as uncharacterized. The record is from RefSeq and is a predicted model, not a curated record. Lineage: Eukaryota; Metazoa; Arthropoda; Insecta; Diptera; Diopsidae. The transcript has 3 exons.